UGCCAGCAGCCGCGGUAAGACGAACCGUCCAAACGUUAUUCGGAAUUACUGGGCUUAAAGGGUGCGUAGGCGGCUUGGCAAGUUGGGUGUGAAAUCCCUCGGCUCAACCGGGGAACUGCGCUCAAAACUGCCAGGCUAGAGGAAGAUAGAGGUGAGCGGAACUAAUGGUGGAGCGGUGAAAUGCGUAGAUAUGUGGAGGAAUACCAGUGGCGAAGGCAGCCUCCUGGCUCGACACUGACACUGAGGUGCGAAAGCGUGGGGAGCAAACAGGAUUAGAUA
Molecule: ribosomal RNA, 279 nt
Filed under: uncultured bacterium
Lineage: Bacteria
Description: partial 16S ribosomal RNA
Rfam family: Bacterial small subunit ribosomal RNA
Source: RNAcentral